This 375-nucleotide ribosomal RNA is filed under the name Scolopsis margaritifera (pearly monocle bream). RNAcentral's name for it is "partial 12S ribosomal RNA". It matches the Rfam family "Bacterial small subunit ribosomal RNA", at positions 970 to 1533 of the family's 1533-position model. The record is from RNAcentral. Lineage: Eukaryota; Metazoa; Chordata; Actinopteri; Spariformes; Nemipteridae.
CUCACCCUUUCUUGUUCACUCCAGCCUAUAUACCGCCGUCGCCAGCUCACCCCUUGAGGGUUAACAAAUGUGAGCCAAACUGGUACAUUACCCGAUAAGUCAGGUCGAGGUGUAGCGUAAGGAAGGGGAAGAAAUGGGCUACAUUCCCUAAUUUAGUGAAUACAGAGGAUUAACCCUGAAACAAGGUAUCCAACGGUGGAUUUAGCAGUAAGAAGGGAAUAGAGUGCCCCUCUGAAGCUGGCUAUGGAGCGUGCACACACCGCCCGUCACUCUCUCCGAGCACCUUCGCCAUAAAUUUAUUUAAACAACAAGAUAUGCAUAGGGGAGGCAAGUCGUAACAUGGUAAGCGUACUAGAAAGUGCGCUUGGCUGAAUU